Molecule: non-coding RNA, 253 nt
Filed under: uncultured bacterium
Lineage: Bacteria
Also listed under: 1 other name
Description: partial 16S ribosomal RNA
Rfam family: Bacterial small subunit ribosomal RNA
Source: RNAcentral
UACGUAGGUGGCAAGCGUUGUCCGGAAUUAUUGGGCGUAAAGCGCGCGCAGGCGGUCUUUUAAGUCUGAUGUGAAAGCCCACGGCUCAACCGUGGAGGGUCAUUGGAAACUGGGAGACUUGAGUACAGAAGAGGAGAGUGGAAUUCCACGUGUAGCGGUGAAAUGCGUAGAUAUGUGGAGGAACACCAGUGGCGAAGGCGACUCUCUGGUCUGUAACUGACGCUGAGGCGCGAAAGCGUGGGGAGCAAACAGG